UUAAUUGAAGCACUGUAUUAAAAAAUGGUGACCACAGAAGAGAUAUACACUUAUUUUAGUUCAUUCUUUACCACCAUUUCCAGUUACGCAUUGUAUCUAAGCUACACAUGCUAACUCACUACAGGGAUAGAAGUUUUUUAAUCUUUGGGAUAUUUCCUUCUGGAGGACAAAAUGCCAGUUCUUUCCAUGUUCCAGCUCCCUUCUGACAUCAAUCAUUAUACAGUAAAAAUUCCAAACUUUAUAAAGAACUUCGUAAACACCCCUCUAAUUACACACAGAUUGUAAAAUUGCCUGAAAGUUAUCUGUUAACCUGUUAGAUAUUUUAAAUGAACUCCACAUGCCAGGAAAGUAGCCUUGUUAAGACCUUCUUCACAUCAUUCCCACUUUAAAUCACAUCAACCCAGGGCUCAAUCUGUAUUCUUUUUUCCGUUGUGAUUCUGUUUUUAACCCUAUUUGGUAUUUGUCCCUUCUCCAUUGUUGGGAAGGUCUGAAAGCCUGUCCUAUUGAGCCUGCUGCUUCUCCAUUAUUUCCUUUGAACAAACGCUAUCAUGUUGCCCUAAUAACCGCAGCUGUGUAAGCAUCUAUCAGUGUCUUUUAUCGUGGCAUAAUUUCUAUAUAUGAAGGUGAUUUGCCAUCCCUGUCUGCUGAUGACUUCCAUUGCUAGUAUUGACACAUGGCUCAACUCUCAACCCUUAACUCUUGUCUGCUCUUUCUUUCCCUCUCUCCCACUGGAGCAAUUUUAGCCUUUAUCCUAAAACAUUACUCUAAAAUUAAUGAAACUAGAGUGGCCAUAGAUCUUUAGCGACUAAAAAGGCAGCAGAAAGACUGAAUUGCCAAAUCUUGGAAAAAAAAAAAAAUCUCAGCUCGAUGCCUCGUUUCUGAGGCAUGAUUGUCAUCUCUACUAAUGGAUUGCUAUGAUGACAGCAUUAUUACCCUCAAGAGUGCCAAGGAUUUUAAUGAAACUUGAGACUGGAUGCUGUCUUUGGAUGCUGUUACAGGGACAGCCAGAAGUCCUAGCGAUGCUGCUCUAGACUGCAAUUGAUUCAAACUUAAGGUCUUUUGGGGGUUUCCCAGGUGGAGCUGUGGUAAAGAACCUGCCUGCCAAUGCAGGAGGCACAAGAGAGGUUGGGAUGAUCCCCUGGAGGAGGGAAUGGUAACUCACUGCAGUAUUCUAGCCUAGAUAAUUCCUUGGAUAGAGGAGCCUGGUGGGUCACAGUCCAU
RNAcentral lists this long non-coding RNA (1221 nucleotides) under Capra hircus (goat). RNAcentral describes it as "lncRNA (ENSCHIG00010004612.1)". Lineage: Eukaryota; Metazoa; Chordata; Mammalia; Artiodactyla; Bovidae. The record is from RNAcentral.